This 300-nucleotide unclassified non-coding RNA is filed under the name Chaetothyriales sp. Its description in RNAcentral is "partial contains internal transcribed spacer 1". Lineage: Eukaryota; Fungi; Ascomycota; Eurotiomycetes; Chaetothyriales. The record is from RNAcentral.
AAGUCGUAACAAGGUUUCCGUAGGGUAAGUUUACAAUCCUUUCCUUCCAACCUUGUGUGAAUUCUUGCUAACAUAACUUUAUAGUGAACCUGCGGAAGGAUCAUUACCGAGCAAGGGUCUUCCAGGCCCGACCUCCAACCCUCUGUUUAACCAACCACGUUGCUUUGGCGGGCCCGCCCUUUGGGGCCGCCGGGGGCUUCACCGCCCCUGGCCCGUGCCCGCCGGUAGCCAUUUUAAAUUCUGAUAACUGUGCCGUCUGAGUAUAGAUAUAAAUCGUUAAAAACUUUCAACAACGGAUCU